Molecule: RNase P RNA, 377 nt
Filed under: Bacillota bacterium
Lineage: Bacteria; Bacillati; Bacillota
Also listed under: 1 other name
Description: RNase P RNA component class B
Rfam family: Bacterial RNase P class B
About the family: Ribonuclease P (RNase P) is a ubiquitous endoribonuclease, found in archaea, bacteria and eukarya as well as chloroplasts and mitochondria. Its best characterised activity is the generation of mature 5'-ends of tRNAs by cleaving the 5'-leader elements of precursor-tRNAs.
Source: RNAcentral
GAAUCCAGGUAAUCGCUGCAACGCUUGACGUUGUAGAGGAAAGUCCAUGCUCGCACGGUUCUGAGAUGACCGUAGUGUUCGUGCUUAGCCAAAAAAUAAGCUAAGGCAGUGUAAAAGCUGACGGCGGGAACAACACCUAAGUCUUCGGAUAUGGUCUAGGUUCUCUGAAAGUGCCACAGUGACGGAGCUGACUCGGAAACGUUUCAGGUGGAACGAGGUAAACCCCACGAGCGAGAAACCCAAAUUAUGGUAGGGGCACUCUCAUGAAGGAAUUGAACGGAUUGAGGGACAGACUUUGUCUGUAGAUAGAUGAUUACUACUCACUGUACGAGGCUUUAGCCGUUUGAGUACGUGAUAACAAAACAUGGCUUAUUGGG